Molecule: ribosomal RNA, 930 nt
Filed under: Triticum aestivum (bread wheat)
Lineage: Eukaryota; Viridiplantae; Streptophyta; Magnoliopsida; Poales; Poaceae
Description: partial small subunit ribosomal RNA
Source: RNAcentral
AUGUGCAACAUGAUAACAAUAAUAGUAAUAAUUGUGGUGGUGGUGGUGGUGGUGGUGGUAGUAGUAGUAGUUGUGGUUGUAGUGGUGGUAGAAGUAGUAGUAGUAGUAAUAAUGGUAGUAGUACCAAUAAUAAUAACAUAUAUUUAUGUGCUAUGCACAUAUCAAGGAACUUUUAAUAAUCUCGUAUGUCUUGAUGCAGGAGAUGACUAUAGUUUGAAUUGGGAACAACGACUUCAUAUUGCACUUGAUGCUGCACAAGGGCUGGAGUAUCUACAUGAGUCAUGCACCCCAUCAAUAGUUCACAGAGAUGUAAAGACCCCCAACAUCCUUCUAGACAAGAAUCUGGUGGGGAUAAUAUCUGAUUUUGGGCUUUCCCGCGCUUUUAAUGAUGCUCACACACACAUAUCUACUGUUGCUGCUGGCACUCUUGGCUACCUCGACCCCGAGUACCAUGCAACUUUCCAACUCACAGUCAAGACAGAUGUUUAUAGCUUUGGCAUCGUGCUUUUGGAGAUCAUCACUGGCCAGCCCCCAGUAUUGAUGGAGCCUCAAACCUUUCAUCUACCAAACUGGGUACGCCAUAAGAUUGCCAUGGGCAAUAUUCAUGACAUCGUGGACAAGAGAUUGUUGGAUCAGUACGAUGCUUUUUCACUGCAGAGUGUGGUAAACCUUGCCAUGAACUGUGUUGAAAACACAGCCAUCAAUAGGCCGACCAUGACCGAGGUUGUCUCAAGGCUCAAAGAGUUGUUGCCAGUAGUUUCAAGCGAAAAUCAGUCUGUUUCUGCUUCAACUAGUAGUAUGAACCCCAUGGAUGCUGAAAUUCGAAGGCAAUUUCAGUUGACGAUUUCUAGAGAAAGCAACGAGGAGUACUCCUUCAAGUCUAGUUAUGCCGGUGGGAUGUCGGAAUUAAUCCAUUUAUCUGGACGGUGA